Molecule: ribosomal RNA, 253 nt
Filed under: uncultured bacterium
Lineage: Bacteria
Description: partial 16S ribosomal RNA
Rfam family: Bacterial small subunit ribosomal RNA
Source: RNAcentral
UACGUAGGGGGCAAGCGUUGUCCGGAAUCACUGGGCGUAAAGCGCACGUAGGCGGAUUGCUAAGUCAGGGGUGAAAUCCUGGAGCUCAACUCCAGAACUGCCUUUGAUACUGGCGAUCUUGAGUCCGGGAGAGGUGAGUGGAACUGCGAGUGUAGAGGUGAAAUUCGUAGAUAUUCGCAAGAACACCAGUGGCGAAGGCGGCUCACUGGCCCGGUACUGACGCUGAGGUGCGAAAGCGUGGGGAGCAAACAGG